This 240-nucleotide ribosomal RNA is filed under the name uncultured bacterium. RNAcentral's name for it is "partial small subunit ribosomal RNA". It matches the Rfam family "Bacterial small subunit ribosomal RNA", at positions 26 to 285 of the family's 1533-position model. The record is from RNAcentral.
AGAGCGAACGCUGGCGGCAUGCUUAACACAUGCAAGUCGCACGGUUCGGGGGCAACCCCGGGCAGUGGCGGACGGGUGAGUAACACGUGAAUAAUCUACCUCCGAGUGGGGAAUAACUGAGAGAAAUCUUAGCUAAUACCGCAUAACACUUACGAGUCAAAGCAGCAAUGCGCUUGGAGAGGAGUUCGCGGCAGAUUAGUUAGUUGGCGGGGUAAUGGCCCACCAAGACGAUGAUCUGUA